GUCCCAGUGGCCGAGUGGUUAAGGCGACGCCCUGCUAAGGCGUUGUGCUCUGCAUGCGCAGGUUCGAAUCCUGUCUGUGACG
Molecule: transfer RNA, 82 nt
Organism: Pachysolen tannophilus NRRL Y-2460
Lineage: Eukaryota; Fungi; Ascomycota; Pichiomycetes; Alaninales; Pachysolenaceae
Rfam family: tRNA
About the family: Transfer RNA (tRNA) molecules are approximately 80 nucleotides in length. Their secondary structure includes four short double-helical elements and three loops (D, anti-codon, and T loops). Further hydrogen bonds mediate the characteristic L-shaped molecular structure. tRNAs have two regions of fundamental functional importance: the anti-codon, which is responsible for specific mRNA codon recognition, and the 3' end, to which the tRNAs corresponding amino acid is attached (by aminoacyl-tRNA synthetases). tRNAs cope with the degeneracy of the genetic code in two manners: having more than one tRNA (with a specific anti-codon) for a particular amino acid; and 'wobble' base-pairing, i.e. permitting non-standard base-pairing at the 3rd anti-codon position.
Source: Rfam